Molecule: ribosomal RNA, 420 nt
Filed under: uncultured bacterium
Lineage: Bacteria
Description: bacterial SSU rRNA
Rfam family: Bacterial small subunit ribosomal RNA
Source: RNAcentral
UAAGGAAUAUUGCUCAAUGGGAGAAAUCCUGAAGCAGCAACGCCGUGUGGAGGAUGAAGGGUCUAUGACUUGUAAACUCCUGUAAAGAAGGAAAAAAUUCCCAUUUGAUGGGAGAUGAUGGUACUUCUGGAGUAAGCCCCGGCUAACUACGUGCCAGCAGCCGCGGUAAUACGUAGGGGGCAAGCGUUGUCCGGAUUUACUGGGUGUAAAGGGUGCUCAGGCGGAUUUGUAAGUCAGAGGUGAAAUCUUACAGCUUAACUGUGAAACUGCCUUUGAUACUGCAAGCCUAGAGUAUGGAAGAGAGUGAUGGAAUAUCUGGUGUAGCAGUGAAAUGCGUAGAUAUCAGAUAGAACACCAAUGGCGAAGGCAGUCACUUGGUCCAUUACUGACGCUAAAGCACGAAAGCGUGGGUAGCAAACA